RNAcentral lists this ribosomal RNA (351 nucleotides) under uncultured Alphaproteobacteria bacterium. RNAcentral describes it as "bacterial SSU rRNA". It matches the Rfam family "Bacterial small subunit ribosomal RNA", at positions 65 to 492 of the family's 1533-position model. Lineage: Bacteria; Pseudomonadati; Pseudomonadota; Alphaproteobacteria. The record is from RNAcentral.
ACAUGCAGUCACGCCUUCGGGUGACGCGGACGGGUAUACGCGUGGGAACGUGCCCUUCUCUAGAAUACCCGGAAACGGAUAACGUACCCUUGGGAAGAAUUAUCGGGAGAAGGGGUCGCCGGUAAUAGUUGGGGUCGGCUCCAGCUAGACUAUAGCUGGUUUUAGAGGAUGAUCAGCAACACUGGGCACUGGAGACACGGCCCAGACUCCUACGGGAGGCAGCAAGGCUGGGGGGGAAUCUUAGACAAUGGGGGCAACCCUGAUCUAGCCAUGCCGCGUGAGUGAUGAAGGCCUUAGGGUCGUAAAGCUCUUUCGCCUGUGAUGAUAAUGACAGUAGCAGGUAAAGAAACC